Molecule: ribosomal RNA, 253 nt
Filed under: uncultured bacterium
Lineage: Bacteria
Description: partial 16S ribosomal RNA
Rfam family: Bacterial small subunit ribosomal RNA
Source: RNAcentral
GACAGAGGGUGCAAACGUUGCUCGGAAUUACUGGGCGUAAAGAGCGUGUAGGCGGUCAGGUAGGUCCGUUGUGAAAACUCGAGGCUCAACCUCGAGACGCCGAUGGAAACCAUCUGACUAGAGUCCGGAAGAGGAGAGUGGAAUUCCUGGUGUAGCGGUGAAAUGCGCAGAUAUCAGGAAGAACACCCGUGGCGAAGGCGGCUCUCUGGGACGGUACUGACGCUGAGACGCGAAAGCGUGGGGAGCGAACAGG